This 228-nucleotide ribosomal RNA is filed under the name uncultured bacterium. RNAcentral describes it as "partial 16S ribosomal RNA". It matches the Rfam family "Bacterial small subunit ribosomal RNA", at positions 102 to 334 of the family's 1533-position model. The record is from RNAcentral.
ACGGGUGAGUAAUGUCUGGGAAACUGCCUGAUGGAGGGGGGUAACUACUGGAAACGGUAGCUAAUACCGCAUAACGUCGCAAGACCAAAGAGGGGGACCUUCGGGCCUCUUGCCAUCGGAUGUGCCCAGAUGGGAUUAGCUAGUAGGUGGGGUAACGGCUCACCUAGGCGACGAUCCCUAGCUGGUCUGAGAGGAUGCCAGCCACACUGGAACUGAGACACGGUCCAG